RNAcentral lists this long non-coding RNA (512 nucleotides) under Cricetulus griseus (Chinese hamster). RNAcentral describes it as "lncRNA (ENSCGRG00015037341.1)". The record is from RNAcentral. Lineage: Eukaryota; Metazoa; Chordata; Mammalia; Rodentia; Cricetidae.
CGCAUGCUCGGAUCCUGCUCGCCGGCGCAUCGGCCCCUCUCACCCGGGAUGCACAGGCGCGAGUGGUGGGUGUGGGAGACCCGCAGGACCCCGGGCGGGGCAAUGUGGCAAUGGAAGGCCCUGGUAGUAGGGGGUUCGAAAGUCACCCUCUAUCCCUGUGAAGCUCCGGCUGGCACCGGCUCCCGAGUGAUAGCUCAGCCUCUGGAUCCCGCCUGUCCUUGGCGGCGGCUGCGGUCUCACAGUCGAGCGAGCGCAGCACUGUUAAAUAUUAAAGAAUGGGGCUCGAGAGAUGGCUCAGCGGUUAAGAGCACUGGCAGCUCUUCUGAGAGGACCCGGGUUCAAUUUCCAGCACCCACAUGGCAGCUCACAACUGUCUGUAACUCCAGUUCCAGGGGAUCUGACAUCUUUACAUUUAUGCACACAAAAUACAGUUGAAUAAACUAUAAAAUGUUGAAGGAUAGGGGCGGGGAACACACUAGUGUUAAACAUCCUACAAGAUUGAUUAAAACUUC